This 423-nucleotide ribosomal RNA is filed under the name Triticum aestivum (bread wheat). RNAcentral describes it as "partial small subunit ribosomal RNA". The record is from RNAcentral. Lineage: Eukaryota; Viridiplantae; Streptophyta; Magnoliopsida; Poales; Poaceae.
AUGCCUGCCGACUUACCACCGGAGUGGGAUCCUAUGUCUGCCAAGGAGCAGUUGUUGUGGUAUCUCGAGAGAUUAUGCGCUAAGGCGGAGGAGAUGAGUGCCGUGUUGGGUGUUGCACGGGUGGGUGACCCUCCCAUGGUCACCCCGCUUGUCAAUCCGACGGCCUCAACCACGACGCAUGCCUCGUCGGCGCCCGUCCCCGACGUCUCCUGCUCCACCACCACGCCCCAAGAGGUCCUUGAAGUCAUCCUCGACGCGUCCCCUGCAUACACAGCAACGACGCCCACCACCUGUUCGACCGAUGGUCUGAACCAAGUCGUUCCCACCGCCAUCGUCAACGAGGGAACUAGAACUCAGGGUAUCUAUGAGGAUGAGCUAAGAGCAUUCAGAAGGCAAACUCUAUUCUUGAUCAAUCUCCUGUAA